CCCUUAGAUGUUCUGGGCCGCACGCGUGCUACACUGAGUGGAUCAGCGGGUCAGGUUGCGCGAAAGUGUUUCCUAAUCUUUAAAUCCGCUCGUGAUGGGGAUUGACGGUUGCAAUUUUCCGUCAUGAACGAGGAAUACCUUGUAAGCGCGGGUCAUCAUCCCGCGCUGAAUACGUCCCUGCCCUUUGUACCCACCGCCCGUCGCUCCUACCGAUUGAGUGGUCCGGUGAGGCUUUGGGAUCUGAGCGGAAAGAGCGUUUCGCUGUUUCUGCCCGGAAAACUCAGUCGAACCUUAUCAUUUAGAGGAAGGAGAAGUCGUAACA
RNAcentral lists this ribosomal RNA (322 nucleotides) under uncultured eukaryote. RNAcentral describes it as "partial 18S ribosomal RNA". It matches the Rfam family "Eukaryotic small subunit ribosomal RNA", at positions 1470 to 1796 of the family's 1831-position model. The record is from RNAcentral.